Molecule: small nuclear RNA, 104 nt
Filed under: Carlito syrichta (Philippine tarsier)
Lineage: Eukaryota; Metazoa; Chordata; Mammalia; Primates; Tarsiidae
Source: RNAcentral
GUGUUUUCUGGGACAGCAUAUAUACUAAAAUUUGAACUAUACAGAGAUUAGUGUGACACUUGUGCAAGGAUGACACACAAACUCAUAAAGUGUUAUAUUUUAAA